Molecule: ribosomal RNA, 301 nt
Filed under: uncultured bacterium
Lineage: Bacteria
Description: partial 16S ribosomal RNA
Rfam family: Bacterial small subunit ribosomal RNA
Source: RNAcentral
CAGCCGCCGCGGUAAUACGGAGGGGGCUAGCGUUGUUCGGAAUUACUGGGCGUAAAGCGCACGUAGGCGGCUUGGUAAGUUAGAGGUGAAAGCCCAGGGCUCAACCCUGGAAUUGCCUUUAAGACUGCCGAGCUAGUAGGUGAGAGAGGUAAGUGGAAUUCCGAGUGUAGAGGUGAAAUUCGUAGAUAUUCGGAAGAACACCAGUGGCGAAGGCGGCUUACUGGCUCAUUCUAGACGCUGAGGUGCGAAAGCGUGGGGAGCAAACAGGAUUAGAUACCCCCGUAGUCCCUGUCUCUUAUAC